This 3934-nucleotide long non-coding RNA is filed under the name Homo sapiens (human). Its description in RNAcentral is "long non-coding RNA NONHSAT155094.1". The record is from RNAcentral. Lineage: Eukaryota; Metazoa; Chordata; Mammalia; Primates; Hominidae.
UUUGGAUCUUCAAUAUUAUUACUAUCAAAGUUUUUUUUGCUUUCACUAAAUUGUACAUGUACAUAUAUUUUAAGAAAUUUGAAAAAUGUAUCUUACGAACUAAUAUCUAAUUAAUCUCUCCUUAGCCUCUUUAAAGGGUAACAGCUUGUUGAAUGACUGAAGAAGGAAUAAGAAUCAGUUCAAACUUGGAAAGAAUAAAACUCUGUGUGUGUGUGUGUGUGUGUGUGUGUGUGUGUGUGUGUGUGUGGUGUGUAGUUUGGCUGGUUUGAGAAAGUCUUUAUUUUUCCUUCAUUUAUUUAUAAAUAAGCUUUUUAUACUGAGGUAAUCAUAGAUUCACACGGAGUUGUAAGAACUACGAGAGAGGGAUCUCAUGUGCUUAUGCCUAGUAUUCCCCAAUGGUAACAUCUUGCAAAAGCAUAAGACAAUAUUAUAACCAAGAUACUGACAUAGAUACAGUCAAGAUUCAGAGCAUUUUCAUCACAGCAAGGAUUCCUCAUGUUUCUCUUUUAUCGUUAUAGCCACUUCCUUCCUGCAUGGAUUCCCACCUUAACCCCCUGGCAACCACUAGUCUAUUCUCCAUUUCUAUCAUUUUCUCAUUUCAAGGAUGUUAUAUAAAGGGAAUCCUACCAUAUAUAAUCUUGGGAAACUGGCUUUAUUUUCACUUAGGAUAGUUCUUUGGUGAUUCAUUAAGGUUGCUGAAUGCAUCAACAGUUUGUUCCUUUUUAUUGGGAGUAGUGAUCCAUAGUAAGUUGUACUAUGUUUUGUUUAAUAACCAUUUUUCCAUGGAGAGAUAUCUGAUUAUUUCCAGUUCUUGGUUAUUAUAAAUAGAUGUGCCACAAUGUUCAAGUUUGUUCUCAUUUCCCUGGAAUAAAUGCCAAAGAGUACAAUUGCUGGGUCAUAUAUAAAUGCAGUUGAAUAUUUAACUGUUUAAAAAACUGCCAAACUGUACUAUUAGAGAAAUGCAAAUUAAAACCACAGAAAAGUAUUACUGCACGUCUAGCAGAAUGAUGAAAAUAGGGACAAAAACAAGCACAGCGAGGAUACAGAGGACUUGCGUCACUGUCUCAUUACUGGUGCAAAACCAGUUUGAAGAGACAUAUUUUAUCUACAUCUCCUGAGGUCAUUUGUUCUCCAUUUUAGAUCCACUCUUAGAGACCUCUUGAAAUCUACUUGGUGAGCCUAACUUUAAAUAAAGGUACACCUAAGAGUUAGGGACAAGAAUCUACAGUCAGUCAUCAUUACUCAUGGAUUUCAUAUUUACAGACCUGCCUACUCCCUAAAAUUACCUGUAACUCUCAAAUCAAUAGCCACAGCUAUUUCAUGUCCCUUCACAGACAUGUGGAGAGCAGCGAAAAAAUUGUCACCCAAAGUUCAUGUUCCCAGAUGAGGUUCAACAAGGCGACAUUCUGCCUUGCUCCUGUUUUAUAUCUCAUAUUGUACACAACUGUCCUUUUGGUGUGUGUUCUAUUUAGUGCCACAUUUUUCUCAUGUUGUGCUUUUUGCUGCUGAUUUCACUACAGUGAUAUAGUGCCAUCUAGUAUUCCUAAGUGCAAGAAGUCUUUGAUGUACCGUAUGAAGAAAAGAGAUGUGUUGAUAAGCCUUGUUCAAGCGUUAGUUAUAGUACUGUUGGUCAUGAAUUCAAUGUUAAUAAAUCAAUGCUGUAUGUUAAACAAGGUGUCCUUUAACAGAAACACACAUAAAACAAGGUCGUGUAUCGAUUGUUUUAUGACAAUGUGUGACCACAGGCUCGAAGGAACGUCCUCUGUAUUUCCCGUGGGAGCAACAGUUCAGUAUUUGCUAAUUCAGUGCUCACAGCAAUUAUGUUCUUUAAAGAACAUAAUAACCACAAACAACAAGAACUGACUGUGUUUUACUCUAUGGAGGAAUCACAGUCAAAUCAUAACAACAACAAAAACCAACCUAAAACAAACCUCCCUCCAAAAAAAUACUUUCCUCAUUCCCAACUCACUUUUCUUUUCCCUAUCAGGUAGAGUUAGGGGACCACACAGCCCAGUUUUGGGGAGAAAGUCUUGGUUUGUCAAAUGUAUCAAUAGUUUGUUUCUUUUCAUUGAGAGUAGUGAUCCACAGUAGACCACUUUUUCAUGUAUUGUGUCUCAUUUUGUAGUCAAAAUACCAUGGGGCCGGGUGUGGUGGCUCAUGCCUGUAAUCCCAGUUCAGUUUUUGUUUUUUUUUUCUAAAUCUGUGAGAUUUUUUUUUCUAAAUCUGUGAGAUGGGGUAACAUUAGCACUCAUAUCCUAUUGUGAGGAUUACCAAAGUUCAUACUUGUUAAAGCAUGUCAAACAGUGCCUGGCACAUGUUAAAUGCUGUUAAUGUAAGCUCUUAUUAUUAACCAUUGUUCACCUUAUAUGAGGGACUGCAGUGAAACAAACACAACCAUAUUCAGCUUCAUUCUGGACCUUUAACUCUGCCAAAACCCCUUCCUGUCUAGAGCAAUACUUCCCUUUCCCCUUUUCUUGUUUUUCUCAGUGCUGUGUCGGGUCUGUGACAUCAAAUAUUAUCUUGCGUGUAUGGCCACCAAGCCUGUAUUCAUAUAUAUAUAUAUAUAUAUAUAUAUAUAGAGAGAGAGAGAGAGAGAGAGAGAGAGAGAGAGAGAGAGACACAGAGAUGUAUAUAUGUCACUUACCCCACAUACUCUGAAGCUAUCUGCACAUGCAAGUAGCCACAAAGUUGUAGUGAGACUUUUCAAUUAUUUGCCAUAUAUAGAUUUUGCUGUAUGUAGGAAUACUCUACGCAAUCACCCAGAUAAGCUUCUCAGUUAUUCUUGGCAUCCUAUUUUAAGAUACAGAAAGAAUGGGCAAUUGACUGAGCAUAAAUUAAUUCCCUUAUUUUUUGAAAGGUAUAUAUCUUGUCUAACCAACAGUAGUCUUUUAGGGGGCCGGAAGUGGUCCUGAAACAGGGGGCACUCCUAAACAUCUCCAAAACUUAAACCAACAUCAAACCCAUUGAAAUCUCAUAUCCUGUGAAGUUUCCCAGGUUAAGACAAUUAAAUACUAUAGCUGUUUACUACUACCAGAAAGAGGGACCAAGUGUUAGUUCCCAAGUCCUCACUAAAUCUUUUAUAGAUUCUUACACUAAAAAAGCACACAAUGUUCUUUAGAUUAACACACCAAAUUCUUAGCAGGAAGUUAGAGUAUUCCCAGUAAAUCCCAAGCAGGGCCAGGGGGAGCACAGGCAUUCAUGUGUGUUUGACCUAAGGCUCUUUCUCUAGUGAAAAUUAUUUCUCUUUCACCAGUAAGAAGAACCUACAUGAACAAGUGCUGAAGGAAAGAGAUACCUGCCCAUCUCAGUCAAAUGACCUAGUCUCAGUUAUCAAUGCAAAUGGUGGAUAUCACCACCAUUUUUUUUCCAACAUCCAGGGCAGAGAAAGAAUCUGUGUUUAGCUUCAGUGAAUUUAGGGUUGACACUAAUGCUUCAAUAAGGACAAAGAUAACAAAAAGUUGAGUGGCUAAAUAUGUGGCUCUUUAAUGCAGACCAAUGAUUAUUCCAGGAAUCUUCCUCUCUCUCCAAUUUCCAGGAUUGAGAAACAGACUAAAAUACUUAGAAAGCAAACCCAGAUCAUCUGAGUAAGACAUUAUGCUUCAAGAAUGGAAGAUAACCUACCAGCUUUACCAUAAUCUCAGGUUUCUAGAAACAUAUGUAAUACUACAAAACAAAAGCAAAGCUCACCUUAGGUUGAAGAAGGACAUAAACAAAAUAUAGUGAUGCAUUCCCUGGGUUUUGGGGAAAAUCUAUCCGGAUGAAGCUUGGUGAUGCUGAUGGCAGACUAUUUAGUAAACUAACAAAUUUUGUGAGACUCUAUCUUGUAACUUUUUUUUUUUUUUUUUUUUUUUUUUUGAGGCAGAGUCUUGCUCCGUGUCCUAGGCUAGAGCGCAACAGCGCAAUCUCGGCUAACUGCAACCUCUGCCUCCCGGGU